This 389-nucleotide small RNA is filed under the name Providencia rustigianii. RNAcentral describes it as "cspA thermoregulator". It matches the Rfam family "cspA thermoregulator", at positions 3 to 377 of the family's 428-position model. Lineage: Bacteria; Pseudomonadati; Pseudomonadota; Gammaproteobacteria; Enterobacterales; Morganellaceae. The record is from RNAcentral.
CGGUUUGGAAGUACAGACCUAUUUAUGAAAGCAAGUUUUGAAAAGUUCCCCGUUUAGCGUUAUCCCAUAGAUAUCCAUUCGUAGUGAAUUCCUCCUAAUUAGUUCCAUAAGUAUCAAGAAACAUCAAACCUAUAUGCCGUGUGGCAACAAUUAAAAUUUAAAGGAAUUCAAUAUGUCUAAUACAAUGACUGGUUUAGUAAAAUGGUUUAACGAUGAUAAAGGUUUCGGCUUUAUUACUCCUGCAGAUGGAAGCAAAGAUGUGUUUGUUCACUUUUCUGCAAUCCAAAGUGAUGAUUUCAAAACGCUCCAUGAAGGGCAAAAAGUCAGCUUUUCGGUAGAAAGUGGUGCAAAAGGUCCAGCAGCCGCAAACGUGGUGGCACUUUAAGGGC